RNAcentral lists this ribosomal RNA (253 nucleotides) under uncultured bacterium. Its description in RNAcentral is "partial 16S ribosomal RNA". It matches the Rfam family "Bacterial small subunit ribosomal RNA", at positions 524 to 776 of the family's 1533-position model. The record is from RNAcentral.
UACAGAGGUCCCAAGCGUUGUUCGGAUUCACUGGGCGUAAAGGGUGCGUAGGCGGUCGGGCAAGUCUGAUGUGAAAUCUCACAGCUUAACUGUGAAACUGCAUUGGAUACUAUCCGGCUCGAGGAAUGGAGGGGAGACUGGAAUACUUGGUGUAGCGGUGAAAUGCGUAGAUAUCAAGUGGAACACCGGUGGCGAAGGCGAGUCUCUGGACAUUUCCUGACGCUGAGGCACGAAAGCCAGGGGAGCAAACGGG